GUCCACGCCCUAAACGAUGUCUACUAGUUGUCGGGUCUUAAUUGACUUCGUAACGCAGCUAACGCGUGAAGUAGACCGCCUGGGGAGUACGGUCGCAAGAUUAAAACUCAAAGGAAUUGACGGGGACCCGCACAAGCGGUGGAUGAUGUGGAUUAAUUCGAUGCAACGCGAAAAACCUUACCUACCCUUGACAUGGAUGGAACCUCGGAGAGAUUUGAGGGUGCCCGAAAGGGAACCAUUACACAGGUGCUGCAUGGCUGUCGU
Molecule: ribosomal RNA, 264 nt
Filed under: uncultured bacterium
Lineage: Bacteria
Description: partial 16S ribosomal RNA
Rfam family: Bacterial small subunit ribosomal RNA
Source: RNAcentral